This 6210-nucleotide long non-coding RNA is filed under the name Linum usitatissimum (flax). RNAcentral's name for it is "long non-coding RNA (LUSI_LNC003964)". The record is from RNAcentral. Lineage: Eukaryota; Viridiplantae; Streptophyta; Magnoliopsida; Malpighiales; Linaceae.
AAUGUUCCAACGACUAGAAAAAAUAUUUAUAUCUAUACGCUCCUAUGAUAGUGAGAUAGUUGCAGUAAUUUUCUUCCAACCCUGCGCAGAUGUAACUGCGGUUUGAUGGCCUCAUAUUCUCCGCGUUCCGAAAAUAUGCGACUUCUUUAUUCUUCUAGUUGGAUCGGGCAAAACUGUCUUUGCGGUGGUGAAUAGCAUUCCCCGUCGUCCCCCCACCACCGAUAUGUUGACGGCGAAGGUUUGUCCUUCUGGUGUCCAAGGGUUCGAUCUUGUGGGUUUGAAUUCGGUAAGGGCCUAACUAUAUUUCUUUCUCCUUCAUUGUUGUGGGUUUAUGGGUUUCAUUUUCGACCGAUGCCUUCUCCAUCCUAUAAUUCGACGAAAAUUAUUCUUUCGGUGGUGAAUAUCGUUCCCGUCGUUCCCUACCGUUGAUAUGUUGAUGGCGAAGGUUUGUCCUUCUGGUGCACUAGGGUUUAAUCUCGCGGGUUUUAUCUUGGUAAGGGUAACUAUCUUUCGUUCUCCUACAUUCUUGUGGGUUUUGGGUUUCAUUAUUGUCCGAUGCCUUCUCCAUCCUUUAAUUCGACGAAAAUGAUUCUUCCGAUGGAUAAGCUUUUUGUACUGCUUGGAAUUAUGAAAAUUUGAAUCUUUUUCUGCCCAGAAAAGAACAUAGCGCCCUAAAGAGGGGUUUUCCAUAUCCUUUUAGGGUUUAGGGUUUGGUAUACCGUAUAUGAUAUGAUACGGGUUUGGUACAGCGUAUAUGAUAUGAUAUGAUACGGGUUUCAAAAUUCUGCACCCACAAGUCAUUGUGGCGAUAAUUGUGAAAGUAUGUCAAAAUGGGAUAUGUAGGUUAAAAUCUUGAAACAAUGAGCACUUAUGCAAUCUCUAUUACAGAACUGUGCUAAAGCAUGGUAAUUUUGUCUGCCUUUUUUUCCCAAUGACGUAAAAUAGGAAUGUUGAGAUACACAUUUCAUUUGGGGUGGUAUAAAUAAUUUUUCGUUGAAGAAAACCUCUGUUAUCUAUGUUCAGUUGGUCUUUAUGUCUUCAGAACCGUCCCUGAUCUUAUAAGCUAUCAAUUGGUUACAUAUUCUAAUCAAGCUUGCAUUCAUAUUAGGUCCUAGAAAGGGAACAUGCCUAGCUUGAUUUGCCUUUCUGCCUAUUCAUCUUGCUUAGUUUUGAAACUUUACAGUUUAAGGUCCUAAAAGCCUUUCUGCCUUUGUUGGAACAGUCCCUGAUCUUACAAGCAAUCAAUUGGUUAGAUUUCGAUUAAGCAUGCAUUUAUAUUAGGUCCUAGAAAGGGAGCAUGCCUAACUUGAUUUGCCUUUCUGCCUAUUCAUGUUGCUACAGUUCUAGAUCUUGACAGUUGAAGGUCCUAAAAGGGACUUUCAAUUGUCAUUUUGCCCUUCCACCUUUGUAGGAAUCGUCCCUAAUUUUAUUAGCUAUCAUUACUUAUAUUUCGAUUUUGCUUGCAUUCAUAUUAGGUCCUAGAAAGGAAAACAUGCCUAGCUUGAAUUGCCUUUUUGCUUGUUCAUGUUGCUGGAGUUUUGGAACUUGACAUUAGAAGGUCCUAGAAGGGACUUUUCAUAGUCAUUGAGACCUUCCUCUUUUGUCGGAAUCGUCCCUGAUAUUAUAAGUGAUCAAUUGGUUACGUAUUACGAUUAAGCUUGCAUUCAUAUUAGGUCCUAGAAAGGAAAACAUGCCUAGCUUGAAUUGCCUUUUUGCUUGUUCAUGUUGCUGGAGUUUUGGAACUUGACAUUAGAAGGUCCUAGAAGGGACUUUUCAUAGUCAUUGAGACCUUCCUCUUUUGUCGGAAUCGUCCCUGAUAUUAUAAGUGAUCAAUUGGUUACGUAUUACGAUUAAGCUUGCAUUCAUAUUAGGUCCUAGAAAGGAAAACAUGCCUAGCUUGAAUUGCCUUUUUGCUUGUUCAUGUUGCUGGAGUUUUGGAACUUGACAUUAGAAGGUCCUAGAAGGGACUUUUCAUAGUCAUUGAGACCUUCCUCUUUUGUCGGAAUCGUCCCUGAUAUUAUAAGUGAUCAAUUGGUUACGUAUUACGAUUAAGCUUGCAUUCAUAUUAGGUCCUAGAAAGGAAAACAUGCCUAGCUUGAAUUGCCUUUUUGCUUGUUCAUGUUGCUGGAGUUUUGGAACUUGACAUUAGAAGGUCCUAGAAGGGACUUUUCAUAGUCAUUGUGCCCUUCUGCCUUUGUUGGAAUUGUCACCGAUCUUAUAAGCGAUCAAUUGGUUACGUAUUCCGAUUAAUCUUGCAUUCAUAUUAGGUUCUAGAAAGGGAACAUCCCUAGCUUGAUUUGCCUCUGCCUAUUCAUAAUGCAUUCUGGGACUCGAUAGUUGGUCCUAUAUGGGACUUUUCAUUGUCAUACUGCCCUUCUGCCUUUGUUGGAAUCGUCCAUGAUAAUAUAAGAGACUAUUUGCUUACAUUCCGAUGAAGCUUGCAUUCAUAAUAGGUCCUAAAAAGGGAACAUGCCUAGCAUGAUUUGCCUUUCUGCCAUUCAUGUUGCUGCAAUUCUGGAACAUGACAGUUGAAGAUUUUAGAAGGGACAUUUCAUAGUCAUAUGGUCCCUUUUGCCUUUGUUAAAAAUUCAGGUUUUGGGAUGGUUCAAGUGAAAUGUGAAUAUUUAGUGGUGAGUAGACAUUGGAAAGGGGUCCUAGAAAGGAACUAUACAGACUGGUUGGACCUUCUACCUAUUCCAAUUAUGUCGAUUGAUGUCUUACAAUUUAUCUUUCAAGUGAAAGGGAGAAAGUGAGAUGUGUGAAGUGAACAUUUGAAGAUGGUCCCAGCAGGGAACCAUGCUGACUAGUCACGCUUCUGCCUCUUUUAACUGUCUUGUAAGAUCAUUUAUAUAAGUUUUUGUGCGCUGGCUUCAAGAACAUGAUAUUUUCUUCUAUGCUUCAGAGACUUCUCAUGAGUUGUUUGAAGUAGCUUAUAUAUUGAUGGGAAUUAAUCCCUUGAUCUUCUUUCCAAAUUGUUGGUAAUCUGAGGCUUUGUUGGUAUCUGAAGCUUGCUGCUGCAACGUUAGUACAUGUCUUCCAGAAUUUCUGUUAUAUUUUCAAAUUGCAUUCAAAUGGUGAUAUUUGUUGCAAGUUAUUCAGAGAAAAAACAGAUUAACCCUUAGGUGUAAUUUUGGUGGGCAGUUGCAUGAAUUGAACAAGUAGCAUAAGUUUUUUGCCAUUAGACCUUUGCUUCCCAAAUAUUGUGUUGGUAUUUACUGGAGGAUUCAGAGAAAAAACAGAUUAACCCUUGGUGAAUUAUAUUUCCUCUUCUAGAGCAUCAACUUGUGGAAUUGUAGAUGUUUCUGAAAGAACAAGAACAUCUUCUAUUAUAAUGUCAUCCUUCCAAGCAACCUACUACGAUAAAGUGUUAAUUAAAAAAGGCUUAUAACGAGAGCAACACUCAAGCUAGUGUAUUGAUUUGAGCUUGUGAUGUCAAAAUUGAUUUUCCUGAUUUAUUUGCAAUAUGGUGGUUGGUUGUUGAAUUUCCGACCUUUUGCUCUUGUUUCUUAUAUUUGAAAAGGGUCCUAGAAGGAAACCGAGUGCUUGUCCUUCUUCCUGAUGUACUAGUUGCUAUCUCAAAGUUCUUGUUUCAAGUGAAAGGUGAAAUUGGAUAUAGUAUUGAGUAAGGAUUUGAAGGAGGAUCUAGGGAAGAAACAGAAUAGCCAUUGGUGAAUCAUAUUUCCCCUUCUAGAGCAAUUUGAUUGUGAAAUUGUAGAUGUUUCUGAAAGAGCAAGAACAAGUAUUAUCAUGACAGCUAAUGAGUUGCCAAGUAUUUGCAAUGUGAUUCUUCAAUCCAACCUGUCAUGAUAAAGUGUUAACAACAAAUAAGUAUAACGAGAGCAACACUCUAGCUAGUGAAUUGCACGUGAGCUUGCGAUGUCAAAAUUAGUUUUCCUGAUUUAUUUGCAACAGUCCAUAGGCCAUAGCCUCUUAUGAUUUUCGAGUGUAGGUACAUGGUGGUUCAAUGGUGCUAACUUUUUGUUCUUGUUUUUUAUAUUUGAAAAAGGUCCUAGAAGGAAACAAUAUUGAGUGUCUGUCCUUCUACCCAUUUUAGAUGUACUGGUUGCUAUCUCGAAGUCCCCGUUUCAAGCGAGGUGAAAUUGAAUAUAAUAUUGAGUAAGGGUUUGAAAGGGGUCCUAGAAGGGAACUAUAUGACUGGUUGCCCUUCUGCCUCUUUCAAAGAUGGUGGUUGCUAUCUUGAAGUGCGUGUUUCAAAGAAAAUGGUAAUGAUGCUAGUUAAACAUUUUGAAAGGGUCAUAGAAGGGAACCAUGCAGAUUGGUUGCCCUUCUGCCUAUUUCAAAGGUAUUAGUUUUGAUUUUGAGAAUCAGAAGAUUUUUGGAUCUCUAGAAUAUGUUUGCGACCUUAUAAAUUAUGCAUGGUUGGCGCAUUUACGCUGAUAUAAGAAGCUUCUCAAAUCGUGAAAUGGUGGAACCCUGAGAAUGAAUUUCUUCACUUUCUGUGACUUAAAGACUUGAUAUGCUGAUUACUGCCCGGACCAACUUCUACAUGUGAAUGCUAAUUCACAGAUUCAAGAAGGGUACUAUAAAUACCAAAAGGUUACACGAAAGAUAUAAAUUCUUCUGCCCCUACGCCCUAGUGAUAUUUUUUUAGCUCAACUUUGUUACCAGUCAUCUCGUGAUCUGUUAUUUCUUCCGGAUGGACUCUACGAAGGUUGUAUUAAGGAGUAGCCUAUUCGAGUCACUUCCUCUACUUUUGUUGGAUGCAUGUAAAAUUCAAAAGUUCGUGAUGAUUUUUGUUCUGGUAUGCAAAGUUUACGGGCUGAACUGUGCAAAACUGAAGUAUUCAGAGAAGGAUUUUCUAAGCACAAGCUGAAAUCUCUUGCUAAUUACCCACUGGAAGGAGAAAUCCAAGUCAGUGGAACAUGUAUUUCAACGGGAUUCAUACCAAAAAAGAAGACAUUAAAACAAUGAAAGAAAGUGGCAAAUGUAUCCAUCAUUUACUGGAAAUUAUGUUUCCAGUUUCAACUUUCAAGCUGAAACUAUGCAGCCUAAAAUAGAGGUGUAGUCCAGUUUCGGAGCACAAAAGUCCUUCAAUUUACUACUAUAAGAAAGCUUGGAAAAUCCUUAAAUCUUUUGAUCAUAUGGUAUGGUUUGAGCUUUGUUCUUUGGAUGUUCUUUUCAAGUUUCUUCCACGCCUUGAAGUCCAGGAGUUACCAUUACCAUGAUUUAGGGCCUAGUUAGAGCAAAACAGAAUAACAUCUUCCAUGGAUGGUUCUGUGGAUUUUGAAGCCAUUUAGUGAUCUUAAGCACUGAUGCUCUGAAGUGUAUGGCUCCUGAUUUCUUUUGUGGUGCCUUGAAUAGCCCCUGAUAUAAUUUCGAUGAAAACACAACUUCUAUACAUAGACAAAGCUGCUCCUCCUCCAGCCUCGAAUAGCCCUUGAUAUAAUUUCUUUUGUGUGUGCUCUUGCUUGGUGUUGUAAGAGCAGCAAUUGAUAGAAUUCGGAUGCUGUCGGUACCUAUUCUUAAGUAUCUGUUCUUGGAGCUCCCCAGGCUAAAGAAUCCCAUCUAGUGGUAGCUGAAGUUCCUUCCAUCAAUUAGUAACAUGGUAAGAGCUUUCUCCUUCUCAGCAUUGUUAUGGACAUUCUUUGCAACUGACUAAUGUGUUCUUUAAACUAGUUAGUGAAAUGUCUAUGAGAGUCUCUUUGAAUCUAUACAUGAGCGAUAUGCAUACUUUUCUCUGAUGUCUGAUGUCUAUGUUAACCAUAAGUCGCUCGAAUUACACAAUUACUGUACUGACUCGACUCGUUUUUUUUGCAUUUGCUUUCAUCAUUUUGCAUCAUGCACUCAUUAAUUUAUAAUGUCAUAUGUGUUAUCUAAAUCAAAACUACUUUUGAUACAGAUACAGAUACGAACAAUUCUUGGCUUACCACAAAAAUGAAGCUGCACAAGGUACGUGGUUGAGUUUAAAUUUGAUGAGCUUUUAUUAUGAAAUGACAAAUGAUGAGGUAUUAAUCUUCUUUAUUGAUUUCUAACAAUAGAGUUAAUCCUAUACUUAUAGGGUUUACAGUAAAGGGUUUUGAGUCCUUUUCGGACUCAAUUACUAUAUCAAUAUAUUAACUUCCUAAUCAAAUACAGAAAAGGAACUUCUAAUUAAUAUUAAUCCUGCCGUUCUCAACACUCCCCGUCAAGCUUGAUGUAGGCAUUGUAUAAAUUGUAGAAAUCCAGAAUAAAGAUGAUUCUGGUAUGAUU